RNAcentral lists this ribosomal RNA (345 nucleotides) under Triticum aestivum (bread wheat). RNAcentral describes it as "partial small subunit ribosomal RNA". Lineage: Eukaryota; Viridiplantae; Streptophyta; Magnoliopsida; Poales; Poaceae. The record is from RNAcentral.
AUGUGCAACAUGAUGUCUCUUGAUCUUAAGAAGACAUUAUAUGAAGUUCAUCCCAGCUUUGUUGAAUUGGAAAGAAUCAAAUCCAUGAGUGUAAGUGAUAGCACACUUGAUAGGCUUGCAGGAAAAGUUCAUGCACUAAAUCAAGAAAAGAAACAGAGGCUCCGGAAGCUACAUGAUCUUGGAGGCACACUCAUUGAGUUAUGGAGUCUAACGGACACACCAUUAGAUGAACAGAAAUGCUUUGAUCAUGUUACUUCUUUGAUUUCAGUCUCACAAAAUACAGUGAUGCCUCAAGGAUGCCUUUCACAUGACCUUAUUAAGAAGAGGUUGAGGUCAAGAGACUGA